GACGAACGCUGGCGGCGUGCCUAAUACAUGCAAGUUGAGCGAUGAAGAUUGGUGCUUGCACCAAUUUGAAGAGCAGCGAACGGGUGAGUAACGCGUGGGGAAUCUGCCUUUGAGCGGGGGACAACAUUUGGAAACGAAUGCUAAUACCGCAUAACAACUUUAAACAUAAGUUUUAAGUUUGAAAGAUGCAAUUGCAUCACUCAAAGAUGAUCCCGCGUUGUAUUAGCUAGUUGGUGAGGUAAAGGCUCACCAAGGCGAUGAUACAUAGCCGACCUGAGAGGGUGAUCGGCCACAUUGGGACUGAGACACGGCCCAAACUCCUACGGGAGGCAGCAGUAGGGAAUCUUCGGCAAUGGACGAAAGUCUGACCGAGCAACGCCGCGUGAGUGAAGAAGGUUGUCGGAUCGUAAAACUCUGUUGGUAGAGAAGAACGUUGGUAAGAGUGGAAAGCUCAUCAAGUGACGGUAACUACCCAGAAAGGGACGGCUAACUACGUG
Molecule: ribosomal RNA, 497 nt
Filed under: uncultured bacterium
Lineage: Bacteria
Description: partial 16S ribosomal RNA
Rfam family: Bacterial small subunit ribosomal RNA
Source: RNAcentral